This 274-nucleotide ribosomal RNA is filed under the name uncultured bacterium. Its description in RNAcentral is "partial 16S ribosomal RNA". It matches the Rfam family "Bacterial small subunit ribosomal RNA", at positions 335 to 605 of the family's 1533-position model. The record is from RNAcentral.
GUGCCUACGGGAGGCAGCAGUGAGGAAUAUUGGUCAAUGGGCGGAAGCCUGAACCAGCCAAGUCGCGUGAGGGAAUAAGGCCCUACGGGUCGUAAACCUCUUUUGCCGGGGAGCAAGGGCGGGGACGUGUCCCGGCCCGGAGAGUACCCGGAGAAAAAGCAUCGGCUAACUCCGUGCCAGCAGCCGCGGUAAUACGGAGGAUGCGAGCGUUAUCCGGAUUUAUUGGGUUUAAAGGGGGCGUAGGCGGGACGGUAAGUCAGCGGUAAAAAUGCGG